GCCGGGGCUGGUCGGUGAGGGUGGCGAGGGAGCGUUCGGCGCUCUUGACGUCGGGGCCCGCGACGGUCGCGGCGAUCGCGUCGCGGGCGGCGGCGCC
Molecule: transfer RNA, 97 nt
Filed under: Streptomyces gardneri
Lineage: Bacteria; Bacillati; Actinomycetota; Actinomycetes; Kitasatosporales; Streptomycetaceae
Description: tRNA-Arg
Source: RNAcentral